AUAAUAAUAAUAAUAAUUUGAGCGUAUCAUGACUCGGGUUAGUUGAUUGUUGACCAAAUAUGGUCUAAUUUGUUAAGUAUCCGAAUAAACUAUGCAUUAUUUGCUCUCAUCUUAUGAUUUAUAAGUUUAAGUUAAAGGCUUUGUGGCAUAUUGAAUCAUGGUAUCAAUACUUUGCCUUCUCAGACCUGCUCUUGUGAUUUGAUACAAAUCAUCUUUGAGAUAGACCGUUGCUAUCUAAUGAUCAUCAGUACAUGUUCAUUUUGUGAAUUACAUUUCUAGCCAUUUAAUGAUUUGACUCUAAGGUUGGCCAUUAUCCUUUGAGGGAUCAACACACUACCAUGAUAAGUGUAUGAGAUCUAUUUCAUUUCAAGUU
Molecule: long non-coding RNA, 373 nt
Filed under: Phoenix dactylifera (date palm)
Lineage: Eukaryota; Viridiplantae; Streptophyta; Magnoliopsida; Arecales; Arecaceae
Description: long non-coding RNA (PDAC_LNC005229)
Source: RNAcentral